This is a non-coding RNA of Coturnix japonica (Japanese quail), 4457 nucleotides long. Lineage: Eukaryota; Metazoa; Chordata; Aves; Galliformes; Phasianidae. The record is from RefSeq and is a predicted model, not a curated record.
GUGUUCUGACCUGUUAUUUUCUAGAAGAGUUUCUUUUGCUUUAAUUCCCUAUGUGGGGAAGUGGGUUAGGCCCACUUCUGCUCAUUCAGACCACCUGAAAGAUGUAAUUGAAUUUCCCAGCAUGUGAUAGCUGAAGUUGUAAUUACUUUCAGGACCAACGAGCACUGGAUCCUCUAUCUGUAGUGAGUGGCUGCUCACCAGCUGUGGCUAAUGACACCAUGCCUCCGUAAGGGCCCUUUGGACAUGUUGCAUAGAGGGAUGUUGGUUCUGCUGAACAGCAGCGUGGCUUCUUGUUGUCUUCAGAUGGCUGAUGGUGGUGAGGAGUUGUACCUGUUGCAGAUGCUGAGAAGGACAGAAGCAGUUUUGUGGACUGAGCCUUGCAGAUCUCUGCUAAAUAUUACUGGACUGCUCACUUCACCUCGAGAGGAACUGAGUCCCUUUUAGCACCAUCAUUACCUCAGCUCACCUUCAGGUUUCUGUAAGGGCAACUCUUCUCAUCUCUUCAAACAUGAAUGCACUCAUCCUUCUUCCUUAUCCACUUGUCUAGCACAUAUUUUCCAGUAAAAAGUGAGUAUUCUAAUCUUCUUUGACCUCACUGGUUCUUAUUCUCUUUUUCCUUUCUUAAAAGAACAAAAUCUCAUUUGUGGUAAGUUUCUAUGAAAGUCAUAAAUGACAGAAAUAUUCUAUGCCAUUAAAUUUUGAAAAAUUUCCACAGAUGAAAGCCUAACAAAUGCCCCUGUAAAGGUUAAGCGAUCUUCAAUCAGAUGAAGCACAGAAAGAGAUAAGAGAGUGUUUUAUAAGAUAUCUCAUUCAGCUACUCGCACUGGAGUGUCAGAGGCGGAUUAGAUUGCAUAGGAUACCAUAUGAUGCCACUGUUGGCAAGUUGUGUUUUUUUUUUCCAAAAGAGAAAAAAAAUAAGUUACACCUGACCAUGUACACAGCCUGAGUCAACAAUGUAGAAUUUAACUAAAUCAUGAUGACAAAGCAUGCAUGUAGAUGCUUGUAUUCAGGCAGUUUUUGGUAGGUGUUUGCUUACGUGGGCAUUACCUAUGAAAGGAUUGUAACAAUCCUUUGUAAAAGCAUUUCAAUGCCUAAUCUCAAUUAACAAAGAAAUAAUUUCAGUUUAAAUCAGUUAAAUGUAAAUCAGACCAUGGUGAGAAUGCACUGUAGGACAACUUGUUACAACAAGAAAUCCCGCUUCAGCAAUACAAUCGGUUAUAUCUGUCUUAAUAUAUUUAACCGUCAUUAAGAACUAUUACCCCAUUCGAAUCUGAAAGUGUUUUGCAUCAUACGUACUUUCGUAGAUCGAUACAUAUCUCCAGAUAUAUCAAAAAGGAUAUGAAUUGUACCUUCAUCAACUCUACAGACUGAAGAUUGCAGUUGGUCUUCUAGAUGCACCAGUUUCUCACUUAUUGCUUCACAUUUCUCUCCCAGCUCUGCAGAAAACAUGAAGAACUCCUACAGGAAGUGGACAAAGGAAUCAUGUUUAUUGCCAAUUGUACUUUUCUACCUAAUGAUUGCUAACUAAAGGAAAAAAUAAAAUAUUAGAGGGGUAUAUGAUGUUCUGAGGUGCUAAGAUACUGUUUGAAACCUAAUCCAAGUUAAGGAGAUAAAAUCUGUUACUAUACAGUAAUUUGUUGAUUUAUAUGGAUUGGAAAGAACUUGUGGCCUCAGUCUAUUUCCCAUCAGAAAGAAGUCAUGAUCUUACUUUCAGCACAGGAUUAAAGGAGUGUGAAAUCUGAAUGGCUCUCUCCUCCAUGUUGUCUCACCACAGCAGGAGAGGGAAAGCUCACGCUGACUACACCAUUUAGGUUCCUAAAUUUCAAGUUGUUUUUUUAAGUACAAUUUGCACAUUGAGGCCAUUUCAGCAUUUCACGAAGCAUAUUUUUGUUAUAUGAGCUGCCAAAAGCGAUACUUGCUUAGAAGCACUGCUCAACUGAUCAGAGGAAACACAUCAAAUUCUUAGGAAAUACAAGAUGAAACUACACUUUGUUACUACGUGUAACAAGUAUAAAUCCUGGAAAAUAAUGGUUGUUCACUUGCAACUUUAUAUAGACAAAUGCUUCUUCCAUUUUAAAUUAAAUUUUCUGAACCCAUUACAAAGGCAGUUCCUACAGAUUUGUUUGCUUUUGGAUGCACUGAGUAAAGAUAAUUUGUAUCUUUUAUAUUUUGUAUUGACAUCCUCUUCAAGAAAUGAUUCAGGCAAGUGUCAUAUUUGAGUGGAAAAACAUCAAAUCAUUUGUACAUCACUGAGACUAGUCUCUUCCUGCUCCCAACCAUCAAAAGGCAUCAUAGGACUGUCUGCAGUGAGGGAAAGAGGGCACCUGUGGGAAAAAGACUACGGCGUGAAGAUGAGCUUCUGGAAUUAUCAUGGAUCAUUCAUCAGCUGGAGUCCAGAUAACUGUAUUUUCUCUAGAUGUCAUGUAUGUACUCAUCUAUAAAGCCAGCUAUGCAUGUUGCCACCUACAAACCUCAGAAAGUUUUUGCUCCUUUGAAAAAGUAGUCAUUUGCAUCACUGGCUAUUUGAGAGAAAUCAAGCCUUCAAUCAGUGAAAUCAUGCUAGGAAUUGUUGGAAUAUUGCCGUUAUUCCAUAUAUAUAUUGCAGUGAAGCACUCUGAUUUUUCAUAAACACAGUUAACAGUCCUUGAUUUCAUGCUGCCCUUACAGUUUGUGUCACACACUGUGUACAUAGAGUCAAAUGUCAGAAAAGCUGUGCUUGCUGGUACAUCCUCUGUUACAGCACAGAGCUCUGACCUUUCUGUCUUCCUUUCUGUUUGCUUCCAGACACAGCUAUUGAGCACAGGAACACAAUAAGCUUCAGCUCAAAGCCUGGACAAGUGAGUUGGGGAGAGAAUUCUGCAUAUGCCCACAGCUUAGCUGCCCAAGUCCAUGGUUGGUGCAUGGGACCUCAGCAGCCACCUUCAGGCUCAUUAUCAGAUAUCAGAAUUUAUGACAUAAUUCAACAGUCUAUGGAAGUAAAAUCACUGCAUUGUUUUUAAAAUAAGAAUGGGAGAGAAGAUAUACAUCCUCACUACAUCAACAAGAAAUGUGUUUGUUUCAGGACUGGGGACAGAAGAUGAAGAACAGUCUUCCAUCCAGCUGCUAAAUUGUUAUUCAAUACACCAGCAGGACUCCAUAUGCUUUUAGGAAGUGGGAUAACCCAGGCAAUUUAUAUCAACAGAAAGCUUUUAGGGAAUCAUUCUAUGACACGCAUACAAGAACAGAUGACAGUUGUCUAAAAGGACCUAGGCCUCAUGCUAGAAAGAAAAGAUUCAGUAAAUUGUAAGUAAAACUACUGUGAAAAUACAUCUAAAAUGAUGACCAUUCUAGACAAAGCUCCACAUACUGAGCAGAGAUUUUUCCUUAGCAGUUACUCAUAAGAAAAAUCAGAUCUUCACAUAACUCUCAUCACAAACACACAAGAAAAACAAGACAAAAAAAACAUGUAGUGUUACAUCAUCAUUGGAAAGUUAAUUUAGGAAGCAAUGGCUUUUAAUUAAAGCAUAGACUCUUAGGGGUUGCUCUGACAGACAAAAAUCCAUGAAUGAAUUCAAAUCAGACUCUUUCUACAGAUUGUGAACUUCAUUGUGAGGCAAAAUGAAGUACUCCUGCACAGAUGCUGAGGAAAUGGUAUUUUACAGCAUCAUGUAAAAAGCAGAGUCCAGCUCAUGCAACAUCAAUGUACAGUGUACUUUCAUCUGAUCCAUUUACUGCUUUUAGCAAGGGGAUACUGUUGACAGUAGGACAGUUUGUCCAGAUAACCAGUCACUGAAUUAGUUCUGCCACAAGUUGUAUCUGUCCUAUCUCACAUGUAAAAAGCAUAGUAAAGCUGUAUCACGAGUACACAUUGAAUUGUCUAAAAAUGCAACAGAAAUCCUGUUUUCUUCAGAAACUAAGAUAAAUGAGAAAAUGAGUACUAGGAGAAACUACGUGCUCAAUGCAGAAUUGUUCAAACAACACAGAGAGGCAGGAAGUAAGUGACUAAGUAAAAAACCAAUUAAACUUGUUUAAUCACUGAACAUUUGAAGCCUACUUAAUCAUAACUGUAUGGCUAUGCCUCUUCUGCGGUAUAACUACAAUAACUCCAUAAUUUCGGUGCUACAUUCCACUAGUGCUAGAAUUCUGAUGUGAACUUUACAGCUUCAAUAUAGCAAUAACUGUGUACGGAUAAACUGUUUUUGCAUCUUUAGGACACUGAGUUGCCUUUUCGGCUGAAAUGAGCAGUUCCUUUGCAGUUAAGACAAAAGCAUUGUUUCUCAAGAAUAUAUUCACAGACAUCACGUGAAUCUCACAGGAGGGCUAUCCCACAGAUUGUGAUUUUACAAUAUAUACAAAUGUCCUAUUUUAUUUUGGCCUAUAUAUAUAAUCAUUUUUUGUUAUGGUUUUGUGGUACAGAUUAGCUCUAAUUUUAGUUUAGCAUCAAGAGCUCUACAUGAGAUGGCAAAAACAUAUUGCUC